Molecule: long non-coding RNA, 806 nt
Filed under: Anser brachyrhynchus (Pink-footed goose)
Lineage: Eukaryota; Metazoa; Chordata; Aves; Anseriformes; Anatidae
Description: lncRNA (ENSABRG00000019035.1)
Source: RNAcentral
UGAGCAUUGCCACAUCCCAUACUAAACAAGCAACAGAUUGAAAGCUGGGCCAUGUGGGGAGAGAGGUGAACAUCCCUUGGCUUGUGUCCACUGGUCAAAGGGCAGAAGGAAAGGGCUUGGUACCCUGAAAAGGUGGAUGCAGGCUAUGCAAACUGAGCUCCCCAGAUCUGUGGGUAUUUAUAUUUCCAUUUGUCCUUUUGCAUGACAAUUGUGUGUGCGCAAAACGGGGGCUCUGAUUUCACGAGGACAGGAAAGACUUCUCUUGGUACUUGUGAAGCAGUCUGACCAUGUGUUUACAAACUCCAGAAGAAAGACAUGAGCGGAUGAACAGUUUAUUACGCAGAGCAGCUCUGUGAGCAUGCAGGCAGCGUGGCACGGGGUGUAGGACCACUAACGAGAGCCUGAAGGUUGAUUUUCCCUGCUCUGUCAGCGGGUCGGGUCAGGCUGCCAGGGCUCUGCAGCAACCUCAAGGAUCUGCGCUGGGGGUCGCCUCCGGAGGAGCCACAGCCCUGCAGGCCUGAGUUGUGAGCAAAGGUCGCCGAGUCUGCGUGGGACGUCCGUGUCCCUCAGGUGUUCCUGCUCGCCACGGAGACUGCUGAGUCUGCGCCCUGCCCCAGGCCGAGAGCUGCCUGAUGGGGUCAGACUGCAGGUGGCUGAACUGAAGGUCUCUGCGUGACGGUGGGAGUGCUGCCCUUGCGGUUCCCUGUGGUUAUAUCUGCGUGGUCUCUAGGUUAUAGAAGGUAAUUUUGUCUAAGUAGAUGGUAAACAUUAAUAAAAUCCAGUUCUUCAAGCUGACUGUGUUUAAU